RNAcentral lists this transfer RNA (75 nucleotides) under Siccirubricoccus deserti. RNAcentral describes it as "tRNA-Val". It matches the Rfam family "tRNA". Rfam says of the family: Transfer RNA (tRNA) molecules are approximately 80 nucleotides in length. Lineage: Bacteria; Pseudomonadati; Pseudomonadota; Alphaproteobacteria; Acetobacterales; Roseomonadaceae. The record is from RNAcentral.
GGGCGCGUAGCUCAGCGGGAGAGCACUGCCUUGACACGGCAGGGGUCACAGGUUCAAUCCCUGUCGCGCCCACCA